UCCGUAGGCGGUGCGGCAAGUCGGAAGUGAAAUCUCUGGGCUUAACUCAGAGGCUGCUUCCGAAACUGCCGUGCUCGAGUGUGAGAGAGGCGAGUGGAAUUACGGGUGUAGCGGUGAAAUGCGUAGAUAUCCGUAGGAACAUCCGAGGCGAAAGCGGCUCGCUGGAUCACAACUGACGCUGAGGGACGAAAGCGUAGGGGAGCAAACAGGAUUAGAUACCCUGGUAGUCCUAGCCCUAAACCGUCAGGACUUGGGGUUUGCCCUGUACGGGGCAAGUCCCGGAGCUAACGCGUUAAGUCCUGCGCCUGGGGAGUACGGUCGCAAGGCUGAA
This 331-nucleotide ribosomal RNA is filed under the name uncultured bacterium. RNAcentral's name for it is "bacterial SSU rRNA". It matches the Rfam family "Bacterial small subunit ribosomal RNA", at positions 568 to 898 of the family's 1533-position model. The record is from RNAcentral.